AUCUGCCUAAAUAUGCUAAAGGCACCAAAUCACAUCUGAUCUUGGAAGCCAAGCAGAGUCAAUCCUGGUUAGUAAUUGGAUGGGACAUCAUGAAUGAAUACUAGGCUCGGUAGGAA
Molecule: ribosomal RNA, 116 nt
Filed under: Anolis carolinensis (green anole)
Lineage: Eukaryota; Metazoa; Chordata; Lepidosauria; Squamata; Anolidae
Source: RNAcentral